Cryptomeria japonica (Japanese cedar) is the source of this 13181-nucleotide long non-coding RNA. RefSeq lists it as uncharacterized. The record is from RefSeq and is a predicted model, not a curated record. Lineage: Eukaryota; Viridiplantae; Streptophyta; Pinopsida; Cupressales; Cupressaceae. The transcript has 3 exons.
UUGCUCCUUUAGAGUUUGAUUUUUUGUCUACAUUCUUGUCUAAUAAACCAGAUCAAUUUGUGUUUUCAAUUGAACGCAUGGUUUACACUCUACACACAAACUUUUCUAACAUGUUCAAACCAGCCAAAACCAUCAUAAAAAAUCCUCAACUCAACAAUUUGAUUUUCUCACUCACAAGUUAAAGACUGAGUGUAAUGUUUUUGUAGAUCUGAUUCUUGAUCAGAAUGCCACGUCAAAAAGACUUUGCGUGGUCACAUUGCACAACAAUUCCUGGUAGCACGAAGGUCAAGUGCAAUUGGUGUUUACAAGAUAUUAGUGGUGGAAUUUAUCGUUUCAAAUGGCAUUUGUCCAAAGAACAAGAAAAUAACACUAAGGUAUGCAAAGUAUGCCUUGCAGAUGUUGCGUAUUAGGCAAAGCAAUCUCUUGACGGGAUUGCUGAGAGUAAGGCCAAAAAGGCAAGAAUUGGGGUUGAACUAGGUUCUAGUUCUACAGAUCCCAGGAGCAACUGUUUGGGUGAAGAAGAUGGCGAAGAUGGGAGUUUCAGGGAAUGUGGGUCAACACCUAAUUCUAUAGCACGUGGACUAAACACAAGUGGAGGAAACAUUAAUACUUUCUUCCAACCUCGUACUACACUAGGAUCACAAACCAUUACACUAGGAUCACAAACCACUUUGGAGAGUAUAGGAUGUAGGAAAACUGUCACCUCCUCUCACAUGGCAUCCAUGCUUCUAGAAAUCUAUAUUGGCAACCCAUGGUAGAUGCUAUUGUAGCUAUAGGACUUGGGUUUCAAGCCCCAUCUUAUGAGUCAUUGAGGGUUGGUAUGUUGAAAGAUGCAGUAGAGGAUGUUCAAGAUGUUGUUAAACAACAUCGGUUACAGUGGGCUAGAACUGGUUGCAGCAUCAUGUUAGAUGGCUAGACAGAUAGAAGGAACCGAACUCUCAUUAACUUCCUUGUCUCUUUUGAGAUUGGCACUGUUUUUUUGAAAUUUGUGGAUGCAUCUAAUAUGAUGAAAUCCACAAAUGCAUUGUUUGAGAUGUAUGACGUGGUAGUUACGGAUGUAGGGCUACAAAAUGUGGUUUAAUUUAUCAUAGACAAUGCUGGUGCUUGUGUUGCUGCAGGGAGACUUCUGACAAAUAAAUACUUGUGUGUCGUGCACACACUCCCUGUCGUUGACAGGGUCCCCCCCCCCUUUCUUUGUUUUCUCAUCUCGUCCUCGAUCAGGUCCUAAGUAGGAAGUUCUGAUAAUUCCUAGAGAGAUGAUUGCAGAAGUUAAGAGUUUGAAUGUUGAGAAGAUGAUCCAACAUGAGUCCUAGAUAGUGGAGGAUUUGCAUCUUGAAAAUGAGAAGCAAGAUGUUGCAGUUAAGUCCAAUUGUCAAAAUAACAAUAGGUUUGAGUUGAUAAAGAUUGGCUACCUAAGUAGGAAGAUACCCCAGGUGAAAUCAUGAACAUUGUUAAGUUGACGCCGCUCAUGGACAAGUUUCAAGCUUGAAGCCAGUCAAGAUAAGUGAACAGGCCAAGGUGAAAUCCAAAUCGACCUCCAUGGCCAAAGUGAGGAAAUAUCAUUAAAAUCGGCCUCUAAGACUAAACUGCAAGCUCAAAACUUUAAAAUCAGCCUAAAAGGCCAGAUCGCAAACUCAAAAGUUCAAAUUGACUUUGUAAGACGAAAUGCAAGCAAAGGUUUGAAAAUUGGCAUAAUAGGUCGAAAUGUGAGCCAAAGAUGUGAUGAAAAGAGAAAAUCGCGAAAAAGAGGCGUUUGAGCCGAAAUUAGAAAGCAAAACUCAUUAAAACACAAAUCUCACAUUGGGCCCAUUUUGCCCGAAAUAAUUUAAGUAGGAGAAUGCAACGUAAAAUUAAGGCUCACAAAAUCGGCUUAAAGUGCCGAAAUGCUAAGUUCCCGAGUUUGCAUUUUAGGCUUUAUAGCCCGAAAGGAGAAAAGCGUUUAAGUUCGCAUUGCCUCCCAUUGCUCGAAAAUCUCAAGUCUUGCAUCUUACCCAUUUAUGCAAAAAUGCAAACAAAAGUUCACAAAACCGGCUAAUGAGCCGAAAAUGAAAGAAGAGUUAUUUAAGUUAAAAUUACGAAAAGUGGAAAAUGUUUCAAACUCACAAAGUCUUCUCAUCACUCGAAAUGGCCCAUAAAAGUUAAAUCAUGCGAACAAGCCCAAAAUACUGAAAAUUUCAAUGAAGAUUAAAUCGCGCAAAGUUGGUUUUUUGACUAAAAACGUCACUAUUCGCAAAUAAGCCUUCUAAGCCAAAAAGUUAAUAAGUGAAAAAUCUCGCCAAAUAACAUUCCUGUGCCCAAAAAUCUCAUUGAGUGUCGAUAGCUUACAACUCACAAUCGGCCUCUAAACCGAAAUUAACAAGAAAGGAGAAAAUCGCGUGAGAAAGUGAAAAGGGAGAACAAAUUUCAAAGUCGCCAUUGAACCUCAUUCCGCUGAAAUCGUUUACAGAGGAAAAUCACGCAGAGAACUCUAGGCCAAAAUCGGUUAGAGUGGGAGGUCGCCCAAGAUCAUUCUUUAGAGCCGAAAAUUGUUAGGAGAAACCAGAAUCACAUCAUAAAUCUCAUUUGAACCGAAAACAAGUUUAGAAUCGUGCAAUAUAGGAUGAAUGCUCCGAAAAUCUUCAAAAUUGCAAAAUCGCACAAGGAGAAUAAGCCGAAAACGAUCAUUCAACUUCCCAACCACACAAUCGAGCGUUGUGAAUCGAAAAAGGUGAGGAAAAUAGAAAAGGUUCAAAGUCGUGCAACAUAUGUUCAUUGAGAGGUCGAAAUCAUUCAAAAGCUUAAACAUACCAAGGGUCUUCUUUGUCACCGAUUUCAUUGAAAGCUAGGGCCGCGCAAGGAGAAUAUAAGUCGCCUAAAACAUCAGUUUGCCCGAAUUGCUUAAAGGAAGGACGAUAUCAUUUCCGCAAACUUCAAACAAAGGAGGCUAUCUCCUCUCAACGCUGGUUCUCCUCAACAGUUGUAUUCAGCAAAGUUCCUUCUCACUAUUGUCAGGUAAGUCAAAAUUUAUCUUCCCCAUAGUUAAAUUUUGAAGGAAUCAUUUUUUUUGUCUUGUUUGCCUGGGGUUAAUAUGUAACUUCAUAUAAAAAAGGAGAAAAUUUUAAAGAUUGCAACCCAAGUAAACAUCCAAGAAUAGUACUCAAUUAUCAAAAUUCGACCUCUAGCCGAAAUAUGAGACUUGGGCAAAAUUUAGGAAUUCUGGUCCAAAGUACAAAAUACAUAAACUACUCUUUCUGAAACUGCAAAUGCAGAAUCAUCUUCGAAACGAUCAACAUUUUACAAAACUCAAAACUCAAAACACUGAAUUGUGCAAUCCAAUAACGUUUGCAACUUUCCACCAUUAGCAAUCAUGAGCAACAUUUCAAAAAUCUACUCCAAAACAAUAGCUAAUCAAACCAAUCGGCUGAUUUUCAUCUUUAAAUUGCACUCAUUCCCCAAGCACAAAAUUUAAAUUCUUUAAAAAGCCUGGUUCAAAACGCUUUCAAAUUUCAAAAAAUUAUCUGGCUACUUAAACAAUUUUAAUGCUAACGUCGUCUUUCGGCCUUGCUAACCCGUUUUUUUACCUUAAUCUCGUAUCGUAAUUCGUGUCCGGGUAUGUAGGAUAGGUGCCUAAAUCAGCAAUAGAGUCUUCAAAGACACCUAGCGCAACCAGAGCAUCACGAACUUCCAAAGCUAACAUUCCCCGCAAGUUCGAGAAAAUAAAAUACCAGUACCAAGGAGGAGUCAAGGAGUCAAAGGUCUAGAGUGUGUAGGACAACAUAGGAGAUACAAACUUGAGACAUAUUGAUAUUCAGGAUUUCAAGAACAGGGUAUACUCUCCUAACGCCUAUGGAAAGCCCAGACGGAUGUUGGAGAGUGGUAUUGCUCAAGUUGCUGGUUUCCCACCGGCCGUGCAGAAUUAUGAACUAGUGAUUGAAGCCGCUAAGUACUAUCAACCGGAAACCAGAUUAGUGGUACUAAAAGGAAUGGUAAUGGUCGACUUCACACUUGAGGCCAUUGGGGAAACAUUUGAUAUCUCGCUUCCUGAUAGUCCCAUUGUCGUGACCAUUGAUGAAGCCCAAAUUGCCUAUGACAAGAAUCCUGUUCCGUGUAAAACACUGAUCAAUGAAGAGUGGUUCAAGGAAAGAGGACCCCCGAGCACUAGGAUCAGUAAAAAGACCACCAGAAGCGAUUUCCACAAUGAGUAUGGUGAUAUGGCUACCUUGCUCAGCCGGGUUAUGGGACUUCUGCAAUCCAACCUCUUUGAGGAAUGGAUGUUCUACUUCAUCGAGCGAUUUCGCUGGAAAUCUAAGAUUGACUGGGCUCAAAUUAUCAGCAAUAACAUCCAUACACAACUGGUUGAGCUCGAAGAGAAGAAGUACUUCGCUACGACCUCUUACCUGGUCUAUAUGUUUGCUCAACAUCAGCCGUUGCUAGGAUUAAUCAAGAGAGGUGAGAUUGGGAACAGACCGAAUCAGGUGAAAGUGUACGACUGCUAUCCUCAGUUGCAUUACUAUGACAUAGCUCAAAGAGAAAAGAAUAACAUUGCAUAUGCGAUUGGUUAGUACGAGCGUGUGAAUGACGCUUUUGCAAUGUGCCUGGUCAGAUUAAUGCAAGGAGGAUUGCACAUAAGGCUGUCAAAGCAGGUUGCCACCCUGAUUCGGAAAUACGGUGCAUGGUUCAUCCAGUUCCCCAGAUUCACCUACAUCAGAAUGGCAGGCUUUGAGGGAACACCGUAUCGGCUUCCGCGUUACCCAUCAGAUAGGUUAGUCCUCAUGGAGGUGGCAAGGCAGGCACACCCAGCAGGGAACAUACUCAGGGACAAAAACCAGUCAGGAUUCACCUUCCCUAUGAUCAUAGGUAACCAUGAUGUUCACUUCAAGAAUUCGGUGCAAGCUAAAGAGUCAUUCGUCGAGUUAGCAUCCUAUUACUUACAGGAGCAUCAUUUCCCUAGGAAAUGCUUUGAUCAUGAUGGAUUGGGAAAGAAGGCUUACAACAAGCAUUGCAAGGCCAAGGCAUCAAUAGAGGACUAUUGGAGCAAUUGUUCAGAUGACUUUGAGGUCCGUCGGCGGGAAUAUUCAAGGUUGAGUGUUCAAUAAAUGCGACUUUAUGAGUACCAAUAGGUUCCGGAUCAGGUAACAAACUAUGGAAAUUGCUUGCAAGUCCGAGAAUUUGAAACAAUCAAGGACCUCUUGCCAGCCAUUGAUUGGACUCAAGACCCUAUCACAGAUUUUGAAGUUGUCAUGGAGGGUCGAAGAAGGUACAUAGAUAACUGGCUAUCCCAACAAAUAGAGAGGCUAACCCAUGAAGGAACUCAAUUCACAUACAAUUUAAUGGGUAGUCUCGAUUCCCAGUCUUCAGAAGACGAAGAAACCUCAAGCGUGCCAAACGAAGAGGUUGAGAAACCUAAAAAAAAGAGAAAGAAGGCAAGAGCCAAUAGGGGGACUCAGACAUCAAAAAGAACAAGAAGAGAAAAGAUGCCAAUCAGGUGUCCAGAGGUUACUUCCUCAUCUAAGGACCCUAGUUCAGAAGAUGAUGUGGUUGAACUUGAUCACAUGCCAACUCCACCUCCACAAUGAUCCCAUUGCAUCAGAAGCAAAUAAUCGACAAAUACAAAAUGAGCAAGAAGUAGAGGCAAGGAUCAUUGGUUUGGAUGGACUUGAGAAUCAGGUCGAGGAAGGACAAAUUGCACCUGAUCAAGGGAUUGGUAAACAAGAGCUCAUGCAAGAGAGUAGGCAUGAGUUGCAACACGAAGGCAGCAACAAGGAUGACGCCACGGUUGUAGGAGAAAGGGAAGAAGAUAGAACCCAAGAACCCAACAAAACUGAAGAACAACCACUAUUAGAGGAUACCCAUCAGUUACUCAGUGAGGUGGGAGAAAAAUCAACCAUGAGUAAAGGAUUAAAUACUGCACCCAUUCCUCCUUUUGUGUCCGAUCAGUUGCAGAUAGGCAGUGGAUCAGCUGGGGCAUCUAAACAAUAGCGUGGGGAUUUACUAGUCACAUUUGAGCAAACCAUUCCUCAUAACUGGUUGAUAGCCCGGGCACAACAAAAAGUGGUUGUCAAGCCACCAAUUAACCUAGAGGAUAUCUUCUCCCGGAUAGGAGAAAUAAAAACUAAAGGAAAGAAAAAGCCAAAGAUUUACUCCAAGAUUACCAAAGAUGAGCAAAGGAAUCGUAUGAUUCAUAUUGCUGUCCCACUUGGAGACAAACCAACAGAUCAGGUUGCAUUGGCUAACUAUAGCACCACGUCCAUCCCAAUAGGGCGAGCAACCAAAGAUGUAAUAUCCUUUGCCCAAACUGAUUGAUUUUGGCUCAAGGAAUAUUGUCAAACACUUUGUAUGUUGUCUUUCUCUAUUCUGAUUUUUGUAUUUCAGAUUGUUUGAUACACUUUGAAAGUUGCCAAGAAAUUUAGGAAGUUCACCAAUGAUGUUGACAAUACCUCUUACAAUGAACUAGUAUGGGAGUGCAGUUCUUUUUGGUAUUUUCAAUGCAUAUACAUGAAAACUAGAUAUGGAAUGCAUACCUACAGCCAACUAACAUUUCGACAAAAAACUGGCAUGCAACUAUUAUGCUGAUCAUAUAUGCUAUUAACAGGACAUUUCGCCAAACAAAUGGUAUGCAACAUAUAUCUUCUUUAUUGAAUUCAUUCCUAAGUACAAUGCUGCUAUGGAUUUGCCAAGACUAAUUGGCUUACAAAAAAGACUACAGCAAUGCCAAAUCUGAUUCUAAGUUAUCACUUACAACAGCAAAAUUAUAUGCCUAAGAUUUCAAUACUAGCUACUAAUAUUUGCAAGAGGAACCUGGUAAUAGUGAUGCUCGAUGAUGGAGAUGAAAGUUGCAAUCGGAAUCAAGCACAAAUAUUGUAGCGUGGCACUGUUCAUGGGUACUGUUCAUGCGCACUGUUCACGGGUACUGUUCAUGCAUACUGUAGCAGCAAGAACAAACUUUUAAAAGAACGAUUACUAAUGGCUGCCAAUGAAUCUUCAGGUCUGCACUCGAUAGUCCUCAAUAUUCUUCAAACCCUUUCUGUUAUUCCUUUACUUUAAGCACAAAUAGAACUCUAGAGUGAAGCUCUCCUGAAAUGCCAAAUUCAGUGGAUAUUUCACCACCUCAAAUGGUUGCAACACUGAAGAAUUGACGUUCUCCAAUGGCUAACUGAAAUCAGAAACCCUUGGCUUCUUCUCCUAAUUUCAUAUCAAAUGCAAUUGACAAUAAUCCAAUGAUAAGAAAAGAACGUCUCAUGUUAAUUUAUUCUUUCCUUGUAGGAGCUCACUUACUUUUCUUCCCAAUGUGGGAUAAAAUAUUUUCUUAUAUUUGCACCUUAUAAUAUUAAAGUGACUUUAUUAUUAUAAGUUACUUUAUAACUUUAUAAUAACAUUAAAAUAUUUAAAUAAAUCACUUAAGUCACUUAAACUUUAAUAUCUCUUGAAAUACUUGUCAGAUUGCUAUGCCGUCUGAAAUAGGAAUCUCUCCUCAUAAUUCCCCAUGUGACCAAACACACUUUCUAAAAAUAGAAGGGUCCAUCUCUAUUACCCCUGACUUACUAUACAUAGUAAGUAUGGCAAAUGGAGUCCAAAUGAUAUCGAACAAAGGCCAAUUCCCUGAAUGUUGGAGAAGAAUCAAUCCUCAGAAGACCCUCUAACCAUCCACAUUAGCCUACGAGGGUCCAAUUAUAGGCUAAUCAUUGGCUAGCAUGAUGUCACUAGCUAGAAGGGGACAUCACAAAAGAGCAGGAGAGGGAAGAAUUUAAGGAUUCCGUACAAAAUAUGCUCAGACAACUAGAUGAAAUGACUGCUGAGAGGGAUAUGUACCGAGCUCGUGCUGAACAAGCCGAGGGGUACAUAGAUCACCUGUUGAGACCGCUGCAUCAUACCGUUGAGUCCCAUGUUCCUCCAAUGGCGUUGGCACAAAAGACUACGACUGAGUUCGAAGGAGUGCGUGACACCGCCAAGGCCGUUAGAAAAUGGAUCCGGGACAUUUAAACAAGAGGAAAGAAGAUUAUUGAUGAUAUAUUUGAAGUAACACUCAAAAUACAUGCAGCUCGAAUAAAGAUAAUAGAGGUGAAAAAGGAGUAUGCCAAAAUCCAGGAGGCAAUUGGCUUGGCUCAACCACUCAUGAGAGCUCUUUUCUAGACACACACUCAGAUUCCCACACUACACACUAUCCUGGACCCCUAUGAUAUCAAUACUUUCAAGGAGUGGUUCUGGAUUCUCAACAUGAAAAUGGACAUGGCGGGCGUCAUCAGAAAAACGUAGGAGAAAUGUGAAGAUGACUUAUUUGGUAUUGAGAGCAUUGGUGAGGACAUCCUUAUGGCAUUAGUAAUUGGUUGGAAGGAUACCAUGGGGGAUGCUGAUGUGGUAUCACAAUGGAAUGCUAGGUUAAAGGCUGAUAAAACUACGUACUCUGUGGAAGACUUUGAGUGUAUUGGCAGGCUGCAUGCAGACAUACUGCGUUUUAGUAAUCAUCAAUCUCAGUGGCGCGAGCAACUAAGGGUGGUGGACACUCAUCUGGAGGGCGUGCGGUUCAAAAUGUGCCAUCCUCCCUUUCCCUCAAAUAAAGGGUUGUUCCCUGUUUGCAUAAGGUUUCAAGAAUAUGUUCGGGAAGAGCGCGUGGCAAACUAAGACAUCUGGGAAGAGUAGUUGGCAAGGAAUUUGAAUUUUUGGAAAAGUAGUCUACCUCGGGGAAGGAAAAAGUGCUUUCUUGAAAGUAUUUGUUUCUUUUUAAUUUUAAGUGCACUUUUUCAGGAUAAAGUUUUUUUCCAACUACCAAAGUCGUCAUAAAUUUUUGAGUUCCGUGCAAGUGCACUUUUUGGAGCAACUUUAUGUUUGGUAGUUGGUAGUUAUUAGUUAGUUGGUGGUUGGUGAUGAUAUUUUGUUAUCCAUUAAUGGGUAUGGGCAGCCAUGUUUUAUAGGAUGAAUCUGGGCCACUUGUGAGAUUAGAUCUUGACCAUUCAUCCAUUUUUGAAAGCCUAUAUAAGGGAUGGUUUCUCCCUUAUUUUUUUUUAGUAAGAAAUCUUGGAUUGUUGUAGAAACUCUGCAGAAAUACAUUCAGACUUAAUGAAGAUUAAUGUUGUUAUUGUUUCAUGUGAGUGCAUGGUCUAUUUCUUCACUUUUUGAAUUUAUGUUAUGCAUUUUGUUUUACAAAAUAAUAUGUGCAAGUUGAUAUUUGAUAGAAAUCUUAGUUCAUACAAUUAAGGAUUGGCUGAUUGCCAAUUCUUCUGCAUGGUUAGUUUGAACUCACUAGUAUGCUUAGUUCGGUUAUUUAACAUGGAAUGUGUGAAUGUCUUAAAUUCAGCGUUUAUGUUUAAUAACAUGAAAGUCUGUUUCCCCUUUGGAGAUUGCAUCAAUUUUAUCUAGUUGUGUGAAUUAUUGGCUAAAUAAAAUUUGAUUAUUGCAAGGUUUCUGUCUAUUAGCUUGAAUGUUUUAUUUUUAGGUAGAAGUAAUUAGCAUCAUCCUUCCCCUUUUUACCUCUUUUUCCUUUUUUAAAAAUAAAUCUGAAAGUAAAGUAUCCAUGGCAGCAUCAAACAUACUACAGAAUCAGAUGAAUCAAUUCAUAGAGUCUAGGGGAAAUCUCGUCUAAGACCUUUCCAUUCAAAUCCAUCCACAAACAUCAGUUCCCUUUGUGUUGCUUGCAAAACACAUCAAAUCGUUGAGCUAUCCUACAGUCAAGACCUGACAACCAAAACAUUGAGGUCAAGCCCAUAUGAUCAAACCAAAUAGCAUUAGGAAUUUCCUUAUUUCAAGAGAGGAUAGGAUAUUCGACAUUCUAUUUUGUGUUGGCCGGAGAGAGUUGUAGCGAUACGACCUUCGACACGUCAACAAUACCCUUCCAUGUUUUUUACACCAUGUGCACAUUGCCUUGAUCUAACCCUAGAGGACAUUGGAAAAAUUGAAUGGGUUAAGGCAACAUUUUAGAAGGCUCACAAGGUUACCAAAUUUGUUUAUAAUCACAUGAGGGUUUUGGCUAUAAUGCACUCUUUCAUAGGAGGCAAAGAGCUAGUUUGACCAGGGGUGAAAAGAUUUGCAACAUAUUUCCUUGCAUUACAAACAUUACGUGAACAAAAAAGUAAUUUGAGACAAAUGUUUGUUUCAGCUGAGUGGAUGGAGUCUAGUUUCACAAUUCAAACAAAUGGCAUAGUAGUGGUAAGAGUAUAUGUAUUCUACCACCUUUUGGGAAUUGUAAUAAACCCCCUUAAUUUUUUUUUGAGUUUUCAAUGAUAUUACAAAGCAAACACGAUAAACCGUUAAGGUUAGAGAAAUAAUCCAAAACAAUUGAAAGGGAACCCUUCCACCAUUUGUUCAUCGAGAGCCCAAUUUGGGAGGGUGAGAGCAUACGGUGUUCCGGGGAUUGUUAGCACCAUAAACCGAACUGAAAUUACAAUGCACGAGCGGCAAGCCAGCCCCUUAUGCUUAUCCAGUAGGAUAGAAUUUGAACUUCUUGGAGGUAAACCAGCCAAGGAAAACAACAAGAAAUUUAAACACAAUCACUAACGCGUAUUUCAGCGGGAGGAUAAUACAUAAAACUAUCACUCUACCACAUAUUUCCUCAGGACGACAAUAAAUAAAACUAUCACUCUACCACAUAUUUCAGCAGGAGGACAAUAUCACUCAACCACUUAUUCAGUGGGAGGACAAAGGUUACAAACUGAAAUUUCAAACACUAAGGCGACCCAGCCAACCUCUUCCACUUAUGCAAUGGGGAUUACAAUGCACACUUCAAGUUCAAAUAUAGAGGUUAGUACUACUAACCAAUGAUACAAGGAUGAUUACAAUGAAGUAUUACAAGAUUACAAUAAUUAACUAUAGCUGAUUUCAAGCCACUAACACAAAAUAACAAGUCUGAUAUAAAAUAACAACAAUUCCAGAACUGGACCAGCAAUACUUGUAAAUGCUCACAAAUCAUUCCAAUCCACUUUAAAACACACCAAAAUUGAAGCAAAUGAAAUCAACAACUAAGGCGAUCAACCUCAAACCUCAAACCAACACAAUGAAAGCUUCAACAUUGAUGCACGCAACCCGAGGCACCUCCCAAAUGGUAUGACCUGCUAUAGAUUUCGAUUUGCAACCAAAAAUCACUAACACCACAUCCCAAUCUGCAAAUCAGUGAAGAAUAUUGCCGAGGGAGAAUGGUGAGAUAGAGCCAGUACCCAGAAUGCAACGACCAACAGGUAGGGAGAUAUGAAUAAAACCUUGCUUUAGCUACCACGUCCAGCAACACCAAAAAACACAGCAGCAAACAAAUUCUCCAAAUCCACACAAAACGCAAUCCACAAGAACACCAAGCAAACCACAAAGUCAAACCACAGCUAGGAGUGAUGUCUCACACUCGAAACGGCAAAGGAAAAUCUAGGAGGUUUUCACCCUCGAAGAAGUCUGUAGUCAUUCCGAUAGCAUAACAUUAUAAUUUAUCUGGACGAUGAAAUGAGGAGCCAAGCACCUGUAUAAAUAGAUUUCCAAGUCUGAAAUUCAGAUUCAAAUGCCUCCAAAUUCACCCCUUCAAUUUUGCAUUUCAUUUCUAAGGUGGACCCAAGUAUGGCGUCCCCCUUAAGUCAAAGCCACGCUUAGCAAGAGGACCACGAUUUUUGGCAUAAAAAAAAACACUUUGUUGAAUAAAAUAGUCUUCAUAUUCACUUUGGCGUCCCCCUUCAUAACACAAAUAUUUCGCCUAGCAAACUUAGGAAAAUCAUAUUAUGCACAAUUCUCAAUAGCAUUAAUCAGUAAUAAAAUAAUUAAAUAUUAAACCCUAGGAUAAUAAAAUAAUAUUUAAUUAAAAAACUUAUAACUCUAAUACUAAUUAUCAUCAAAAUUAAGGAUGAAACUGUGCGAUGAAAACCACUGAACUGGAUCAGAACUCUAUCCAAGACUGCCAAAAAUAGAAAUGCUCAAACUGCCACUUGCUAAAAAUAGUAAGUCAUGAAAUACUGCUCCGAAACGCAUGAUAUUCGCACCCAAAGAAAGAGCUUGGAAAGCUUAGUAAAACUGCACCAUCCAGUCAGCCAAACCCUAACUUACUAAAAAUAGUAAGUUCACACUUCACCUUAGAAUCAAUUGUAUGUUAUGCCACCCUAGAGUUCAUGGAAAACCCAGAAGGAAACCAUAAGCAGAUCUGAAGAAUUCCCUGCUGAAAAACCCUAAAAAGCUCAUGCAAAACUCCGCAAAAGUUGGAAACCCUAAUUCUCCUUUCCAAAUACCCUACAGGUCUCCGGAAUAUGCCACUUGGCCACUGAAAGAACAUCACUGAGAAGGGGACAUUACAAGAAUCUAUUGAACAGAUUGUAGAGUUUUCAAAGCCUUUAGUAAAAGUCUUGAGACUAGUGGAUGGGGAUAAACCCCCCAUGGGAUAUGUGUAUGAGGCCAUGGAUAGGGCCAAGGAGGUGAUAAGGAGUAAGCUGGAAAAUAAUAGGGAUAGGUAUAUGUCGUUGUGGGACAUAAUUGAUAGGAGGUGGGAUGGACAGAUGCACACUCCUCUCCAUGCUCCGGGAUACUUGCUCAAUCCUUUGUUAUUCUAUAAGACCGACUUCAUGGAAAUUGAUGCUGAGAGCAAACAAGGCUUCUUCAAGUGCAUGGAGAAAAUGUUGCCUAACCCGGAAAAAUUUGAUGCAGCUACGAUAGAGUUGGAAGUGUACAAGCAUGCUAACGAUUCAACCAGCUUCGUGGUGGGCUUCUUUUGGAGACGAAAUACCCAAUUUAAGGUGGAUGGCAGUGCGCAUUUUAAGCCAACUAUGCAGCUCAUCAGCUUGUGAGAGUAAUUGGAGUGUUUUCAAACACAUACAUUCCAAGAAACGGAACCGCCUAUCACAAAAACGGCCGAAUGACUUGGUAUUUGUUCAUCACAACCUCCACUUGAAGAUAAAGAAAGCUCAUGGAACUAUUGAGGAAGGCUUGCCAAUUGACCUCGAUGAGAUAUAUCCAGAGUGUGAGUUGAUUGUUGUUGAUGAUGCUGCUGAUGAUGAUGAUGAUGAUGUUGCUGAUCGUCUGCUUGAGACUGAAGAUUUUGAUAUCACGAGGCAAGCCAACUUUGGUCCUCAAUGGGUUGAACGAAUUAGGAUAGGCUCUCACCCAGAAGCUUCAUCAUCAAGGCCUCCUGCCCUCUAGCAUGUCAUUGCCUACAUUUGAUAUUUUGGAAUUUUGUACUUAGUGCACAGGUUGACUUUGUUCAAAGUCACAAACUAUAUUGUAAUUGACAUUUUGACAUCUAUCACCAU